This 471-nucleotide ribosomal RNA is filed under the name uncultured bacterium. RNAcentral's name for it is "bacterial SSU rRNA". It matches the Rfam family "Bacterial small subunit ribosomal RNA", at positions 30 to 519 of the family's 1533-position model. The record is from RNAcentral.
UGAACGCUGGCGGCAGGCCUAACACAUGCAAGUCGAGCGGAUGAAAGGAGCUUGCUCCUGGAUUCAGCGGCGGACGGGUGAGUAAUGCCUAGGAAUCUGCCUGGUAGUGGGGGACAACGUUUCGAAAGGUCUGCUAAUACCCGAUGCCGUCACAUGGUCGCAUGGCCGAGUGACGAAAUGGAUUCCGCUUCAGGAGGGCGUCGCGACCUAUCAGCUUGUUGGUGAGGUAACGGCUCACCAAGGCUACGACGGGUAGCUGGUCUGAGAGGAUGAUCAGCCACACUGGGACUGAGACACGGCCCAGACUCCUACGGGAGGCAGCAGUGGGGAAUCUUGCGCAAUGGACGAAAGUCUGACGCAGCAACGCCGCGUGGAGGACGAAGGCUCUCGGGUUGUAAACUCCUUUCAGUAGGAACGAUAGUGACGGUACCUACAGAAGAAGCCCCGGCUAACUACGUGCCAGCAGCCGCG